UGCCGGUUCCCCCGCAACGCUAAACGGCAAACCCCGCCAGGUCCGGAAGGAAGCAACGGUAGUCGUGAUGCGUGUGCCGGGGUCGGGCUGGCAGGG
This 96-nucleotide signal recognition particle RNA is filed under the name Moraxellaceae bacterium. RNAcentral describes it as "signal recognition particle sRNA small type". It matches the Rfam family "Bacterial small signal recognition particle RNA". Rfam says of the family: The signal recognition particle (SRP) is a universally conserved ribonucleoprotein involved in the co-translational targeting of proteins to membranes. Archaeal SRP consists of a 7S RNA and homologues of the eukaryotic SRP19 and SRP54 proteins. The record is from RNAcentral. Lineage: Bacteria; Pseudomonadati; Pseudomonadota; Gammaproteobacteria; Moraxellales; Moraxellaceae. RNAcentral also lists the same sequence under 1 other name.